GACGAACCGUGCGAACGUUAUUCGGAAUCACUGGGCUUAAAGAGCGCGCAGGCGGUCGUUCAAGUCGAGUGUGAAAGCCCCCGGCUCAACUGGGGAGGGUCAUUCGAUACUGAUCGACUUGAAGGCAGGAGAGGGAAGCGGAAUUCCCGGUGUAGUGGUGAAAUGCGUAGAUAUCGGGAGGAACACCAGAGGUGAAGACGGGUUGCUGGGCUGACACUGACGCUGAGGCGCGAAAGCCAGGGGAGCAAACGGG
Molecule: ribosomal RNA, 253 nt
Filed under: uncultured bacterium
Lineage: Bacteria
Description: partial 16S ribosomal RNA
Rfam family: Bacterial small subunit ribosomal RNA
Source: RNAcentral